This 1328-nucleotide ribosomal RNA is filed under the name Staphylococcus aureus T67327. RNAcentral describes it as "bacterial SSU rRNA". It matches the Rfam family "Bacterial small subunit ribosomal RNA", at positions 8 to 1317 of the family's 1533-position model. Lineage: Bacteria; Bacillati; Bacillota; Bacilli; Caryophanales; Staphylococcaceae. The record is from RNAcentral.
AGAGUUUGAUCCUGGCUCAGGAUGAACGCUGGCGGCGUGCCUAAUACAUGCAAGUCGAGCGAACGGACGAGAAGCUUGCUUCUCUGAUGUUAGCGGCGGACGGGUGAGUAACACGUGGAUAACCUACCUAUAAGACUGGGAUAACUUCGGGAAACCGGAGCUAAUACCGGAUAAUAUUUUGAACCGCAUGGUUCAAAAGUGAAAGACGGUCUUGCUGUCACUUAUAGAUGGAUCCGCGCUGCAUUAGCUAGUUGGUAAGGUAACGGCUUACCAAGGCAACGAUGCAUAGCCGACCUGAGAGGGUGAUCGGCCACACUGGAACUGAGACACGGUCCAGACUCCUACGGGAGGCAGCAGUAGGGAAUCUUCCGCAAUGGGCGAAAGCCUGACGGAGCAACGCCGCGUGAGUGAUGAAGGUCUUCGGAUCGUAAAACUCUGUUAUUAGGGAAGAACAUAUGUGUAAGUAACUGUGCACAUCUUGACGGUACCUAAUCAGAAAGCCACGGCUAACUACGUGCCAGCAGCCGCGGUAAUACGUAGGUGGCAAGCGUUAUCCGGAAUUAUUGGGCGUAAAGCGCGCGUAGGCGGUUUUUUAAGUCUGAUGUGAAAGCCCACGGCUCAACCGUGGAGGGUCAUUGGAAACUGGAAAACUUGAGUGCAGAAGAGGAAAGUGGAAUUCCAUGUGUAGCGGUGAAAUGCGCAGAGAUAUGGAGGAACACCAGUGGCGAAGGCGACUUUCUGGUCUGUAACUGACGCUGAUGUGCGAAAGCGUGGGGAUCAAACAGGAUUAGAUACCCUGGUAGUCCACGCCGUAAACGAUGAGUGCUAAGUGUUAGGGGGUUUCCGCCCCUUAGUGCUGCAGCUAACGCAUUAAGCACUCCGCCUGGGGAGUACGACCGCAAGGUUGAAACUCAAAGGAAUUGACGGGGACCCGCACAAGCGGUGGAGCAUGUGGUUUAAUUCGAAGCAACGCGAAGAACCUUACCAAAUCUUGACAUCCUUUGACAACUCUAGAGAUAGAGCCUUCCCCUUCGGGGGACAAAGUGACAGGUGGUGCAUGGUUGUCGUCAGCUCGUGUCGUGAGAUGUUGGGUUAAGUCCCGCAACGAGCGCAACCCUUAAGCUUAGUUGCCAUCAUUAAGUUGGGCACUCUAAGUUGACUGCCGGUGACAAACCGGAGGAAGGUGGGGAUGACGUCAAAUCAUCAUGCCCCUUAUGAUUUGGGCUACACACAUGCUACAAUGGACAAUACAAAGGGCAGCGAAACCGCGAGGUCAAGCAAAUCCCAUAAAGUUGUUCUCAGUUCGGAUUGUAGUCUGCAACUCGACU